CCUACGGGGGGCUGCAGUGGGGAAUAUUGGACAAUGGGGGAAACCCUGAUCCAGCAAUGCCGCGUGUGUGAAGAAGGCCUGCGGGUUGUAAAGCACUUUCGGUUGGGAAGAAAAGUUUGGCGCCAAUACCGCCGAACCUUGACGUUACUGACAGAAGAAGCACCGGCUAACUCUGUGCCAGCAGCCGCGGUAAUACAGAGGGUGCAAGCGUUAAUCGGGAUCACUGGGCGGGAAGCGCACGUCGGUUGUCAAAGCCCCGGGCUUAAACUGGGAACUGCAUUCGAUACUGCAUGGCUAGAGUAUGGUAGAGGGAAGUGGAAUUUCCGGUGUAGCGGUGAAAUGCGUAGAUAUCGGAAGGAACACCGAUGGCGAAGGCAGCUUCCUGGACUAAUACUGACACUGAGGCACGAAAGCGUGGGUAGCAAACAGGAUUAGAUACCCGAGUAGUC
This 449-nucleotide ribosomal RNA is filed under the name uncultured bacterium. RNAcentral's name for it is "partial 16S ribosomal RNA". It matches the Rfam family "Bacterial small subunit ribosomal RNA", at positions 338 to 795 of the family's 1533-position model. The record is from RNAcentral.